Molecule: ribosomal RNA, 496 nt
Filed under: uncultured bacterium
Lineage: Bacteria
Description: bacterial SSU rRNA
Rfam family: Bacterial small subunit ribosomal RNA
Source: RNAcentral
GACGAACGCUGGCGGCGUGCUUAACACAUGCAAGUGGAGCGACGAACCAGGGCUUGCCCUGGGGCAAAGCCGCGAACGGGUGAGUAACACGUGGGUAACCCACCCCGAUGAUUGGGACAACCCCGGGAAACCGGGGCUAAUACCAAAUGUGCUCGAGAUCCAUGAGGACCUCGAGUAAAGAUAGCUUCGGCCUUCGCAUCGGGACGGGCCCGCGGCCCAUUAGCUUGUUGGUGAGGUAACGGCUCACCAAGGCGACGAUGGGUAGCUGGUCUGAGAGGACGAUCAGCCACACUGGGACUGAGACACGGCCCAGACUCCUACGGGAGGCAGCAGUGGGGAAUCUUGCGCAAUGGGCGAAAGCCUGACGCAGCGACGCCGCGUGGGGGAUGAAGGCCUUCGGGUUGUAAACUCCUUUCGCCAUUGACGAAGCCCUUUGGGGUGACGGUAGGUGGAGAAGAAGCACCGGCUAACUACGUGCCAGCCGCCGCCGUAACAC